GGGAAACUGCCCGAUGGAGGGGGAUAACUACUGGAAACGGUAGCUAAUACCGCAUAACGUCGCAAGACCAAAGUGGGGGACCUUCGGGCCUCACACCAUCGGAUGUGCCCAGAUGGGAUUAGCUAGUAGGUGGGGUAAUGGCUCACCUAGGCGACGAUCCCUAGCUGGUCUGAGAGGAUGACCAGCCACACUGGAACUGAGACACGGUCCAGACUCCUACGGGAGGCAGCAGUGGGGAAUAUUGCACAAUGGGCGCAAGCCUGAUGCAGCCAUGCCGCGUGUAUGAAGAAGGCCUUCGGGUUGUAAAGUACUUUCAGCGGGGAGGAAGGCGGUGAGGUUAAUAACCUCGCCGAUUGACGUUACCCGCAGAAGAAGCACCGGCUAACUCCGUGCCAGCAGCCGCGGUAAUACGGAGGGUGCAAGCGUUAAUCGGAAUUACUGGGCGUAAAGCGCACGCAGGCGGUCUGUUAAGUCAGAUGUGAAAUCCCCGGGCUUAACCUGGGAACUGCAUUUGAAACUGGCAGGCUUGAGUCUCGUAGAGGGGGGUAGAAUUCCAGGUGUAGCGGUGAAAUGCGUAGAG
RNAcentral lists this ribosomal RNA (580 nucleotides) under Pantoea sp. RNAcentral's name for it is "bacterial SSU rRNA". It matches the Rfam family "Bacterial small subunit ribosomal RNA", at positions 120 to 695 of the family's 1533-position model. Lineage: Bacteria; Pseudomonadati; Pseudomonadota; Gammaproteobacteria; Enterobacterales; Erwiniaceae. The record is from RNAcentral.